GCCGGGGUGGCGGAAUGGCAGACGCAGCUGACUUAAAAUCAGCGGCCGCAAGGCAUGGGGGUUCGAGUCCCUCCCCCGGUACCA
RNAcentral lists this transfer RNA (84 nucleotides) under Chloroflexota bacterium. RNAcentral describes it as "Chloroflexi bacterium tRNA-Leu". It matches the Rfam family "tRNA". From Rfam's summary of the family: Transfer RNA (tRNA) molecules are approximately 80 nucleotides in length. Their secondary structure includes four short double-helical elements and three loops (D, anti-codon, and T loops). Further hydrogen bonds mediate the characteristic L-shaped molecular structure. tRNAs have two regions of fundamental functional importance: the anti-codon, which is responsible for specific mRNA codon recognition, and the 3' end, to which the tRNAs corresponding amino acid is attached (by aminoacyl-tRNA synthetases). tRNAs cope with the degeneracy of the genetic code in two manners: having more than one tRNA (with a specific anti-codon) for a particular amino acid; and 'wobble' base-pairing, i.e. permitting non-standard base-pairing at the 3rd anti-codon position. The record is from RNAcentral. Lineage: Bacteria; Bacillati; Chloroflexota.